AUGGGAUUGGGGCUGCACUGGGUUUUUUUGGUUGUUCUUUUAAAAGGUGUUCAUUGUGAGGUUCAGCUGGUUGAGUCUGGUGGAGGAUUGUUGCAGCCUGAGGGGUCAUUGAAACUCUCCUGUGCAGCCUCUGGAUUCACCUUCAGUGACUAUGCAAUGUCCUGGGUCCGCCAGGCUCCAGGGAAGGGUCUUGAAUGGGUUGCUGCCAUAGACCCUAAAAGUUAUAAUUAUGCAACUUUCUAUGCUGAUUCGGUGAAAGGAAGAUUCACCAUCUCCAGAGAUGAUUCCCAAAGCAUGGUUUACCUGCAGAUGAACAAUCUUAAAACUGAGGACACAGCCACUUAUUACUGUGUAAGACACAGUGAGGAGUCUUCAGUGUGA
Molecule: non-coding RNA, 381 nt
Organism: Peromyscus californicus insignis
Lineage: Eukaryota; Metazoa; Chordata; Mammalia; Rodentia; Cricetidae
Source: the annotation of a RefSeq genome assembly